AUACGGAGGAUCCGAGCGUUAUCCGGAUUUAUUGGGUUUAAAGGGUGCGCAGGCGGCCAUUUAAGUCAGCGGUUAAAUCGUGGGGCUCAACCCCAUUCUGCCGUUGAUACUGGGUGGCUUGAUUGCGGUCGAGGUUGGCGGAAUUCGUUGUGUAGCGGUGAAAUGCAUAGAUAUGACGAAGAACACCGAUUGCGUAGGCAGCUGACCAGACCGCAAAUGACGCUCAUGCACGAAAGUUCGGGGAUCGAACAGGAUUAGAUACCCUGUUAGUCCGCACAGUAAACGAUGAAUACUUGUUUUCGGCGAUAUAAUGUCGGAGGCAAAGCGAAAGCGAUAAGUAUUCCACCUGGGGAGUACGCCGGCAACGGUGAAACUCAAAUGAAUUGGCGGGG
Molecule: ribosomal RNA, 392 nt
Filed under: uncultured bacterium
Lineage: Bacteria
Description: partial 16S ribosomal RNA
Rfam family: Bacterial small subunit ribosomal RNA
Source: RNAcentral